RNAcentral lists this long non-coding RNA (225 nucleotides) under Lathyrus oleraceus (garden pea). Its description in RNAcentral is "Pisum sativum (pea) long non-coding RNA (PSAT_LNC032012)". The record is from RNAcentral. Lineage: Eukaryota; Viridiplantae; Streptophyta; Magnoliopsida; Fabales; Fabaceae.
UCUUCUAGCCUUUGUGCUUGAUCCAUCUUCUUUCCUUUUUUUGUGUGGCAUAACUUUAGGAGAAUGACUUACAUAUCAUUUCUAUAGAAUGCAUUAACACAAAUAUUAUUAUUGACCGAACUCAGAUAGUUGUGACUUCUACAUAAGUCUAAUUAUGAUUGCUUAACAUAAUGCUAAAUUUGUUCCGAAAGUAAGUCAUUUCAUAAGUGAGAUUGUAAGUCUCCC